AAGCAUGCGUGGUAUCAAGAGGCGCACGGAGGUGCUCCUGCAGCCUCCUCCCAGCAUGGGACUCCUCACAACCCCCGGCCUCAGCCUCCCCAACAGGGCAGGGGCUCACUCUCACCCACUCUGGGCCAGGAACGCAGCUUUUCGUCCAAUUGGGUGCUCUUUCUUUGCGACUGAUACAAAGUGGGGACAAACGCCGCUUCCAGUGAUGCCCGGGCCCCAGGAGGCUGGGGGAGAAGCGCCCGCUGCCCGGCCUUCAACCUGAGCUGCCUCCAACACUUCCCAGCCCAGACCCCUGCAGCUCCAGCUGACACGGAAAAUAGAAAGAGCCUGUGUUGAAACAUUGGGGGGGUUUCCCCGAUAUCUGGCUUGUCUUGAACUCCUGAGCUCAAGUGAUCCUCCCACCUCAGCCUCUCAAAGUACUGGGAUUACAGGCAUGAACCACUGUGUCUGGCACAAGCAAAUAUUAAAACAACGAAAGUACAAUGGAAUAGAGCAACGAGCAUCUCCACGAGCUCGCAGGAGGAUCUCUGUGCCGUCUACACACGCGCCCGGCUUCAGCCAUCACAGGAAAGGAGGGCCUCUGCUUAAUCUUCCAAGUUCUACUGUCUGCUUCUGGCUUCCAAAGUUCCUGUUUGAGAAGACAGCCGUCAUUCUGGGGGUUCCUGUUUGAGAAGACAGUCAUCAUCCUCGGGGUUCCUGUUUGAGAAGACAGUCAUCAUCCUCGGGGUUCCUGUUUGAGAAGACAGCUGUCAUCCUCGGGGUUCCUGUUUGAGGAGACAGCCAUCAUUCUGGGGGUUCCUGUUUGAGGAGACAGCCGUCAUCCUCAGGGUUCCUGUUUGAGGAGACAGCCAUCAUUCUCAUGGUUCCUAUUUGAGGAGACAGCCGUCAUCCUUGGGGUUCCUGUUUGAGGAGACAGCCGUCAUUCUCUUGGUUCCUAUUAGAGGAGACAGCUGUCAUUCUCGUGGUUCCUGUUUGAGGAGACAGCCGUCAUCCUUGGGGUUCCUGUUUAAGGAGACAGCCGUCGUUCUCGGGGUUCCUGUUUGAGGAGACAGCCGUCGUUCUCAGGGUUCCUGUUUGAGGAGACAGCCGUCAUUCUCUUGGUUCCUAUUAGAGGAGACAGCUGUCAUUCUCGUGGUUCCUGUUUGAGGAGACAGCCGUCGUUCUCAGGGUUCCUGUUUGAGAAGACAGCCGUCAUCCUUGGGGUUCCUGUUUGAGGAGACAGCCGUCAUCCCUGGGGUUCCUGUUUAAGGAGACAGCCGUCGUUCUCAGGGUUCCUGUUUAAGGAGACAGCCGUCGUUCUCGGGGUUCCCUAGUGCUAAGGUGUUUUUUUCUCCUGGCUACAUCUAACAGUUUUCUCUUUUCCUUUAGUUUCAGCAGUUUUACUACGAUGUGACUAAGUAUGGCUUUCUUCAGCUUUACACUUCAUGGAGUUCAAUAAGCCUAUUGAAUCUGUGGGUUAAUGCCUCUUAUCAGUUUUGGAAAAUUGGCUACUAUACAUAAAAAUAAUAUUGCUCCU
Molecule: long non-coding RNA, 1516 nt
Organism: Macaca fascicularis (crab-eating macaque)
Lineage: Eukaryota; Metazoa; Chordata; Mammalia; Primates; Cercopithecidae
Source: Ensembl